This is a long non-coding RNA of Echinops telfairi (small Madagascar hedgehog), 1121 nucleotides long. RefSeq lists it as uncharacterized. The transcript has 2 exons. The record is from RefSeq and is a predicted model, not a curated record. NCBI's taxonomy places the organism in Eukaryota, Metazoa, Chordata, Mammalia, Afrosoricida, Tenrecidae.
GUGUGUAUGGGGUACGAGUACUUAUAACCAAUUAGGGAAGAUUAGCAUGUCAGUGCAUGGGAAUCUGUGUACUUGCCUGUGCAUAUGUGUGUCAUAAGGGAAAGAAGGAAUUCUUGGUCAUAUUAGGGGAAUUUUUAAAAAAAUUCUUGUUGAUUCAGUUCCAACUCAUGGUGAUUGCAUGCAUGUCUGAGUAGAACUAAGCUCCAUAGAAUUUUCAGUGGUUGAUUUUGUUCAGAAAAAGAUCUCCAGGACUUUCUUCCAAGGUGCUUCUGGGUUGGCUCAAACCUCCAAACUUCACAUUAGCAGCUGAGUAUAUUAGCCAUUUGCACUGUCUAGGAAUUCCCCUGAUCCCUAAAGGCAUCAAAUUUUGUUUAAAAGGCUUGUUCCUUAAGGACCUUGUGAGAUCCUCUAGUCUCACCCUAAACAUUUGAGAAGGGAAACAAAACCCCAGAAGGGGAACACAAAACAAAGACAGUAGACAGCACGUCAGCCUGCAACAGGACAAGGACUGGAAGAUGCAUCUGCUCGUUCUAAUAGGAGCCCUGAUGGCCCAGCGGUUACGUGUUGGACUGCAAACCGAAAGGAUUGAAGUCCUGAUUCCAGGAUGGUACAUGCUUCCUAAGAUGCCCAGUGUCACCAUUAGUCAGAGGCCCUGGAUGAGACAUCCGAACAGAUGGACCAUGGACACCCCCUCUCUCCUGAACUUAGCGCGCCAAUGUUGGUCACUCUGAUGGCCUGAGGCUUGCCGCUCCAACACUACACUUCACUUUCCCACCAACCUACCUGCCAAGAUCCCAACGUGACUUUGGUCAAGUUCAUCCAAGUUACCAUAUUUGAGCUGAUUUCCUCUAACUUUUAGUUCCUGGGUUUCUAAAGUCACCCCACCCUAAUUCCUAAAACUAAUUCCUGGCCCCAGUUGAAAGACUUUCAGACUGAGUGAAAGUAAUCUUCCAUUGAAGUGCAUUGACAUCAAGACCCCAUUGAUACUUCCGUCCUUACCAGAAGUGUCAGCAGAGUCCAGCAAGGGCUUGGCUUACUGCCCUUCUUAAGGUCUCCCCAAUGUCUGCUCCAAAACCCAUAAUUGUCAGAAAAUAUACCCACGAACGUGGUCAGGAAGCAAA